UGUGGCAGGACAGACAUGUCUUUCUGUAUACAAGGAAUUGGCCUGAAGGGUUGAAGGGUUGAAGCGGAUGGCCAGUAGUCAGAUGGCAACCGUUGCGACGGCGUUUUCCCACAUGUGCAUGAUCAUUGAAUGCAGAAGUAGCGAAGCGCUGUAGUUUUUAAAGACUUGUUCUUGUUGUGCUCUUCACACUUUCGGCGUUUUAGUUGAAUGCGGCUGAGAACAUAAUGC
Molecule: non-coding RNA, 228 nt
Filed under: Karenia brevis
Lineage: Eukaryota; Dinophyceae; Gymnodiniales; Kareniaceae
Source: RNAcentral